UACGGGGGGGGCUAGCGUUGUUCGGAAUUACUGGGCGUAAAGGGCGCGUAGGCGGCCUACUAAGUCGGACGUGAAAUCCCUCGGCUCAACCGGGGAACUGCGUCCGAUACUGGUGGGCUUGAAUCCGGGAGAGGGAUGUGGAAUUCCAGGUGUAGCGGUGAAAUGCGUAGAUAUCUGGAGGAACACCGGUGGCGAAGGCGGAUCUCUGGGCCGAUACUGACGCUGAGGAGCGAAAGCGUGGGGAGCGAACAGG
This 253-nucleotide ribosomal RNA is filed under the name uncultured bacterium. Its description in RNAcentral is "partial 16S ribosomal RNA". It matches the Rfam family "Bacterial small subunit ribosomal RNA", at positions 524 to 776 of the family's 1533-position model. The record is from RNAcentral.